RNAcentral lists this ribosomal RNA (793 nucleotides) under uncultured bacterium. Its description in RNAcentral is "bacterial SSU rRNA". It matches the Rfam family "Bacterial small subunit ribosomal RNA", at positions 28 to 811 of the family's 1533-position model. The record is from RNAcentral.
GACGAACGCUGGCGGCGUGCUUAACACAUGCAAGUCGAACGAUGAUGCCCAGCUUGCUGGGUUGAUUAGUGGCGAACGGGUGAGUAACACGUGGGUAACCUGCCUGUAAGACUGGGAUAACUUCGGGAAACCGGAGCUAAUACCGGAUAGUUUCUUUUCUCGCAUGAGAGAAGAUGGAAAGAUGGUUUCGGCUAUCACUUACAGAUGGACCCGCGGCGCAUUAGCUAGUUGGUGAGGUAACUGCUCACCAAGGCAACGAUGCGUAGCCGACCUGAGAGGGUGAUCGGCCACACUGGGACUGAGACACGGCCCAGACUCCUACGGGAGGCAGCAGGGGAAUCUUGCGCAAUGGGCGAAAGCCUGACGCAGCAACGCCGCGUGCGGGAAGAAGGUCUUAGGGUUGUAAACCGCUUUCGGUAGGGACGAAGGCAAUCAGGUUAAUAGCCUGUGCGUUGACGGUACCUACAGAAGAAGGUCCGGCUAACUACGUGCCAGCAGCCGCGGUAAUACGUAGGGACCGAGCGUUGUCCGGAAUCAUUGGGCGUAAAGAGCGUGUAGGCGGCCAAUUAAGUCCUGCGUGAAAUCUCGGGGCUCAACCCCGAGCGGUCGUGGGAACUGGUUGGCUAGAGUGCGGGAGAGGAGAGUGGAAUUCCUGGUGUAGCGGUGAAAUGCGCAGAUAUCAGAAGAACACCCGUGGCGAAGGCGGCUCUCUGGAACGCAACUGACGCUGAGACGCGAAAGCGUGGGGAGCAAACAGGAUUAGAUACCCUGGUAGUCCACGCCCUAAACGAUG